AGUUUGAUCCUGGCUCAGGAUGAACGCUAGCUACAGGCUUAACACAUGCAAGUCGAGGGGAAACGACAUCGAAAGCUUGCUUUUGAUGGGCGUCGACCGGCGCACGGGUGAGUAACGCGUAUCCAACCUGCCCACCACUUGGGGAUAACCUUGCGAAAGUAAGACUAAUACCCAAUGACGUCUCUAGAAGACAUCUGAAAGAGAUUAAAGAUUUAUCGGUGAUGGAUGGGGAUGCGUCUGAUUAGCUUGUUGGCGGGGUAACGGCCCACCAAGGCAACGAUCAGUAGGGGUUCUGAGAGGAAGGUCCCCCACAUUGGAACUGAGACACGGUCCAAACUCCUACGGGAGGCAGCAGUGAGGAAUAUUGGUCAAUGGGCGAGAGCCUGAACCAGCCAAGUAGCGUGCAGGAUGACGGCCCUAUGGGUUGUAAACUGCUUUUUAUAAGGGAAUAAAGUGAGUCUCGUGAGACUUUUUGCAUGUACCUUAUGAAUAAGGACCGGCUAAUUCCGUGCCAGCAGCCGCGGUAAUACGGAAGGUCCGGGCGUUAUCCGGAUUUAUUGGGUUUAAAGGGAGCGUAGGCCGGAGAUUAAGCGUGUUGUGAAAUGUAGACGCUCAACGUCUGCACUGCAGCGCGAACUGGUUUCCUUGAGUACGCACAAAGUGGGCGGAAUUCGUGGUGUAGCGGUGAAAUGCUUAGAUAUCACGAAGAACUCCGAUUGCGAAGGCAGCUCACUGGAGCGCAACUGACGCUGAAGCUCGAAAGUGCGGGUAUCGAACAGGAUUAGAUACCCUGGUAGUCCGCACGGUAAACGAUGGAUGCCCGCUGUUGGUCUGAAUAGGUCAGCGGCCAAGCGAAAGCAUUAAGCAUCCCACCUGGGGAGUACGCCGGCAACGGUGAAACUCAAAGGAAUUGACGG
This 917-nucleotide ribosomal RNA is filed under the name uncultured bacterium. RNAcentral describes it as "bacterial SSU rRNA". It matches the Rfam family "Bacterial small subunit ribosomal RNA", at positions 10 to 916 of the family's 1533-position model. The record is from RNAcentral.